RNAcentral lists this ribosomal RNA (218 nucleotides) under uncultured bacterium. RNAcentral's name for it is "partial 16S ribosomal RNA". It matches the Rfam family "Bacterial small subunit ribosomal RNA", at positions 1283 to 1500 of the family's 1533-position model. The record is from RNAcentral.
ACGUCCCAGUUCGGACUGUAGUCUGCAACCCGACUACACGAAGCUGGAAUCGCUAGUAAUCGCGGAUCAGAAUGCCGCGGUGAAUACGUUCCCGGGUCUUGUACACACCGCCCGUCACACCAUGGGAGUCAGUAACGCCCGAAGUCAGUGACCUAACCGAAAGGGGGGANCUGCCGAAGGCGGGACGGAUGACUGGGGUGAAGUCGUAACAAGGUACC